This 411-nucleotide ribosomal RNA is filed under the name uncultured bacterium. RNAcentral's name for it is "bacterial SSU rRNA". It matches the Rfam family "Bacterial small subunit ribosomal RNA", at positions 29 to 431 of the family's 1533-position model. The record is from RNAcentral.
AACGAACGCUGGCGGCGCGCCUAAUACAUGCAAGUCGAACGAGAAGGUGUAGCAAUACACUUGUACAGUGGCGAACGGGUGAGGAAUGCAUGGGCAACCUACCCUCGAGUGGGGAAUAACCAGCCGAAAGGUUGGCUAAUACCGCGUACGCUUCCGGGUCUCCGGAUCCGGAAGGAAAGUCACACCGUGGGUGUGACGCUCAAGGAUGGGCUCAUGUCCUAUCAGCUUGUGGUGAGGUAACGGCUCACCAAGGCAACGACGGGUAGCUGGUCUGAGAGGACGAUCAGCCACACUGGCACUGCGACAUGGGCCAGACUCCUACGGGAGGCAGCAGUGGGGAAUAUUGGACAAUGGGCGAAAGCCUGAUCCAGCAAUGCCGCGUGAGUGAUGAAGGCCUUAGGGUUGUAAAGC